GAGGAAUAUUGGUCAAUGGGCGAGAGCCUGAACCAGCCAUCCCGCGUGCAGGAUGACGGCCCUAUGGGUUGUAAACUGCUUUUCUGCUCCAAGAAACCUGAUUACGCGUAAUCAGUUGACGGUAGAGUAGGAAUAAGCAUCGGCUAACUCCGUGCCAGCAGCCGCGGUAAUACGGAGGAUGCAAGCGUUAUCCGGAUUCAUUGGGUUUAAAGGGUGCGCAGGUUGGAAUGUAAGUCAGUGGUGAAAUACUGCCGCUUAACGGUAGAACUGCCAUUGAUACUGCGUUUCUUGAGUAUGGUUGAGGUAGGUGGAAUGUGUUGUGUAGCGGUGAAAUGCAUAGAUAUGACACAGAACGCCAAUUGCGAAGGCAGCUUACUAAGCCAUUACUGACGCUGAGGCACGAAAGCGUGGGGAUCGAAC
RNAcentral lists this ribosomal RNA (420 nucleotides) under uncultured bacterium. Its description in RNAcentral is "bacterial SSU rRNA". It matches the Rfam family "Bacterial small subunit ribosomal RNA", at positions 356 to 773 of the family's 1533-position model. The record is from RNAcentral.